This 877-nucleotide ribosomal RNA is filed under the name Lactiplantibacillus plantarum. RNAcentral's name for it is "bacterial SSU rRNA". It matches the Rfam family "Bacterial small subunit ribosomal RNA", at positions 30 to 872 of the family's 1533-position model. The record is from RNAcentral. Lineage: Bacteria; Bacillati; Bacillota; Bacilli; Lactobacillales; Lactobacillaceae.
CGAACGCUGGCGGCGUGCCUAAUACAUGCAAGUCGAACGAACUCUGGUAUUGAUUGGUGCUUGCAUCAUGAUUUACAUUUGAGUGAGUGGCGAACUGGUGAGUAACACGUGGGAAACCUGCCCAGAAGCGGGGGAUAACACCUGGAAACAGAUGCUAAUACCGCAUAACAACUUGGACCGCAUGGUCCGAGUUUGAAAGAUGGCUUCGGCUAUCACUUUUGGAUGGUCCCGCGGCGUAUUAGCUAGAUGGUGGGGUAACGGCUCACCAUGGCAAUGAUACGUAGCCGACCUGAGAGGGUAAUCGGCCACAUUGGGACUGAGACACGGCCCAAACUCCUACGGGAGGCAGCAGUAGGGAAUCUUCCACAAUGGACGAAAGUCUGAUGGAGCAACGCCGCGUGAGUGAAGAAGGGUUUCGGCUCGUAAAACUCUGUUGUUAAAGAAGAACAUAUCUGAGAGUAACUGUUCAGGUAUUGACGGUAUUUAACCAGAAAGCCACGGCUAACUACGUGCCAGCAGCCGCGGUAAUACGUAGGUGGCAAGCGUUGUCCGGAUUUAUUGGGCGUAAAGCGAGCGCAGGCGGUUUUUUAAGUCUGAUGUGAAAGCCUUCGGCUCAACCGAAGAAGUGCAUCGGAAACUGGGAAACUUGAGUGCAGAAGAGGACAGUGGAACUCCAUGUGUAGCGGUGAAAUGCGUAGAUAUAUGGAAGAACACCAGUGGCGAAGGCGGCUGUCUGGUCUGUAACUGACGCUGAGGCUCGAAAGUAUGGGUAGCAAACAGGAUUAGAUACCCUGGUAGUCCAUACCGUAAACGAUGAAUGCUAAGUGUUGGAGGGUUUCCGCCCUUCAGUGCUGCAGCUAACGCAUUAAGCAUCCGC